AGCCACAGCCAUAUCACCCUGCAGCCCCAAGCCCAAGCAUACUCACUGAAGCUAUGCAGGGCUGAGCCUGGUUAGUACCUGAAUGGGAGAUGACACAUGAGAAAAUUAGGUUUCUGUAGGUA
Molecule: ribosomal RNA, 122 nt
Organism: Danio rerio (zebrafish)
Lineage: Eukaryota; Metazoa; Chordata; Actinopteri; Cypriniformes; Danionidae
Source: Ensembl